RNAcentral lists this long non-coding RNA (386 nucleotides) under Musa acuminata (dwarf banana). RNAcentral describes it as "long non-coding RNA (MACU_LNC007146)". Lineage: Eukaryota; Viridiplantae; Streptophyta; Magnoliopsida; Zingiberales; Musaceae. The record is from RNAcentral.
UUUAGAUACCACGACAGAUCUGAGCCAUUGCACAGAAUCUACACUAACGCUAAAGCAUCAAGUUAUAUGUGAGGUUUGGCCACCCCUGAACCUUUUACAAAGAUAAAUGAGGGACACAACAUUGUACUUCAUGAAGAGAGACGCGGAAUGAUAAGACCACAUGCACUUCUCUCCAACUAAUCUCUAUAUAAUAUAUUCUCCAAAUCAUCAAUUCUUGAGAAGAUAAAUCGAUGCAUGAUUAUUAUUUUUUUCACAUAACUGUAUAUUUUUUUUCCAAAAUUACUAUAUUUAUUUCAAUAAAGACAAUUAUCGAAUCUAACUUUACCUUGAAUAAUCCUCUAGCUCUAGCUCUUGAUAACAUAAUUUUUUUUUAAACAUCUAUAUAU